GUCGACGCAAAUAAAGCCAAGACGCAAUUUCUGCGGUAAACAACUGAGCCGCCAAACUUAGAACUUGGCAAUUUGCACAUUUUAAAGAAAAUAUAAUAAUACAACAGCAUACAUAUUUGUAUGUAGUAUAUUCGACAACUCGGAAGCAGUGCCGUCAUGACUAAUCCACGUACGAGUGCUAUGCUGGGUUCUUGGUCAGCUUUCAAAGUUCUCUAAAGUUCGAACGCCUCUCCACCGGAUAUUCGAGUGCUGAAUCAAUGCUAAGCAGACUCGCCUCGACUUGUUUCAAAUUCGAAUGCAAGUGAAUUUGCCUUCGACAAACCGAAAGUGAAAAAUUCAAUUUCAAAAGCAAAGCAUUUGAUUCGGGGUACGGGGCCAAUGCCUCUUGCCAAUGUACGAAGAGAAAACAAGUGAUAUUGGCCUUGAAUUCGCUAUAUAGCAUAUAGACGAAUACGUACGUACAAAUAUUUUAUAUUUAUAUGGAGCAGGUUGUAUUCACUAUUCGUGCAAUUUCGGCGGGGAGACGACGGCGAAAGAUACAUUUAUCGACUUCAUUUUAUCAGAUACCGCAGAUAUAUACUAUAAUAUAAUAAAUAUAGCACAGGA
Drosophila sechellia is the source of this 606-nucleotide long non-coding RNA. RefSeq lists it as uncharacterized. The record is from RefSeq and is a predicted model, not a curated record. The transcript is spliced from 2 exons. Lineage: Eukaryota; Metazoa; Arthropoda; Insecta; Diptera; Drosophilidae.